This 811-nucleotide long non-coding RNA is filed under the name Carassius auratus (goldfish). RNAcentral describes it as "lncRNA (ENSCARG00000044703.1)". Lineage: Eukaryota; Metazoa; Chordata; Actinopteri; Cypriniformes; Cyprinidae. The record is from RNAcentral.
GUUCUCAAUUUAAUUUUAGUAUAAUUUUUAAGUUUCGGAUAUUUUAAAAUAUUUGGUAUUGCAAAUGUAACUUUUGUUUUGCCUUGUAUUCGCUUUGCUUUACUUUCACUUACCUAAAAAAAAAAAAAAAAAGUUUUAAUAAACAAUAACAAAACAAGGAGUAUGUUUAGGAUGGCAUAUUACUAUUCUUGCACUCUUUGCAGUAUGCACAUUUAUUUGUUGUCUCCAUAUGCAUAUGAUACUUGGAUGUCUAACUGCAAUCUACACUCAGACGGUCUAAUUAAUUCACUCCUCUCCCCAGCCUCUAAUCGACUCUGAAGAUGCCGUCCGUUCACAGACGUGUGGCUCUAAUCAAACAUGUUUCUCUGGGAAGAAUGAGUGCUGUCUGGACGCAGUGGACUCUGCAGCACACAUGCUCAGUCCAGCGGGAGCGCUGUGGAAUCUGUCCCAUAAUGCACCAUGGGAAACUCAGGAGAGAGGCUCUUAUUCCGUGUGUGUGUGUGUGUGUGUGUGUGUGUUAUAUGCUAAAUGUCCUUUUUGGACAGAAAUGACAGAAAAGAGUUGAGCUUCAUCCAAAAAAGCAACAUUACGAUCCCUCGAUAACAAUCAAGAUCCCUCGAUUUAGCCAAAGUAUAAGCUAGUAUAUAUAUGUAUGUAUGUGUAUAUAUAUGUAUAUAUGUGUGUCUGUAUCACAAAAUAUAUGAAUAUACAGUAUAUUCAGAUCAAAAUGUGUGUGUAUUUUAUGCUCAUUAUUGCAAUAUCUUAGAUAAUUUUAUCUUAUGAUAAAAUCAAACUUGGACUCAAAUGUAAA